RNAcentral lists this ribosomal RNA (404 nucleotides) under uncultured bacterium. RNAcentral's name for it is "bacterial SSU rRNA". It matches the Rfam family "Bacterial small subunit ribosomal RNA", at positions 355 to 776 of the family's 1533-position model. RNAcentral also lists the same sequence under 1 other name. The record is from RNAcentral.
UGGGGAAUAUUGCGCAAUGGGGGAAACCCUGACGCAGCGAUGCCGCGUGAGUGAAGAAGGCCCUAGGGUUGUAAAACUCUUUCACCGGUGAAGAUAAUGACGGUAGCCGGAGAAGAAGCCCCGGCUAACUCCGUGCCAGCAGCCGCGGUAAUACGGAGGGGGCUAACGUUGUUCGGAAUUACUGGGCGUAAAGCGCGCGUAGGCGGAUUAGACAGUUGAGGGUGAAAUCCCGGAGCUUAACUCCGGAACUGCCUUCAAUACUACUAAUCUUGAGUUCGGAAGAGGUGAGUGGAAUUCCUAGUGUAGAGGUGAAAUUCGUAGAUAUUAGGAAGAACAUCAGUGGCGAAGGCGACUCACUGGUCCGAUACUGACGCUGAGGUGCGAAAGCGUGGGGAGCAAACAGG